This 618-nucleotide ribosomal RNA is filed under the name Salmonella enterica subsp. enterica serovar Bovismorbificans. RNAcentral's name for it is "partial 23S ribosomal RNA". It matches the Rfam family "Bacterial large subunit ribosomal RNA", at positions 592 to 1211 of the family's 2925-position model. Lineage: Bacteria; Pseudomonadati; Pseudomonadota; Gammaproteobacteria; Enterobacterales; Enterobacteriaceae. The record is from RNAcentral.
UAUAGGAGACAGCCUUUUGUAUAAUGGGUCAGCGACUUAUAUUCUGUAGCAAGGUUAACCGAAUAGGGGAGCCGGAGGGAAACCGAGUCUUAAUUGGGCGUUAAGUUGCAGGGUAUAGACCCGAAACCCGGUGAUCUAGCCAUGGGCAGGUUGAAGGUUGGGUAACACUAACUGGAGGACCGAACCGACUAAUGUUGAAAAAUUAGCGGAUGACCUGUGGCUGGGGGUGAAAGGCCAAUCAAACCGGGAGAUAGCUGGUUCUCCCCGAAAGCUAUUUAGGUAGCGCCUCGUGAAUUCAUCUCCGGGGGUAGAGCACUGUUUCGGCUAGGGGGCCAUCCCGGCUUACCAACCCGAUGCAAACUGCGAAUACCGGAGAAUGUUAUCACGGGAGACACACGGCGGGUGCUAACGUCCGUCGUGAAGAGGGAAACAACCCAGACCGCCAGCUAAGGUCCCAAAGUCAUGGUUAAGUGGGAAACGAUGUGGGAAGGCCCAGACAGCCAGGAUGUUGGCUUAGAAGCAGCCAUCAUUUAAAGAAAGCGUAAUAGCUCACUGGUCGAGUCGGCCUGCGCGGAAGAUGUAACGGGGCUAAACCAUGCACCGAAGCUGCGGCAGCGA